This 250-nucleotide ribosomal RNA is filed under the name uncultured bacterium. RNAcentral's name for it is "partial 16S ribosomal RNA". It matches the Rfam family "Bacterial small subunit ribosomal RNA", at positions 524 to 773 of the family's 1533-position model. The record is from RNAcentral.
CACGAACCGUACUAACGUUACUCGGAAUUACUGGGCUUAAAGGGUGCGUAGGCGGCUUGUUAAGUUGGGUGUGAAAGCCCUCGGCUUAACCGAGGAAUUGCGCUCAAAACUGGCGAGCUUGAGGGAGACAGAGGUGAGCGGAACUUAGGGUGGAGCGGUGAAAUGCGUUGAUAUCCUAAGGAACACCAGUGGCGAAAGCGGCUCACUGGGUCUCUUCUGACGCUGAGGCACGAAAGCUGGGGGAGCGAAC